This 282-nucleotide signal recognition particle RNA is filed under the name Pongo abelii (Sumatran orangutan). RNAcentral's name for it is "Metazoan signal recognition particle RNA (ENSPPYG00000036564.1)". It matches the Rfam family "Metazoan signal recognition particle RNA". Rfam says of the family: The signal recognition particle (SRP) is a universally conserved ribonucleoprotein. It is involved in the co-translational targeting of proteins to membranes. Lineage: Eukaryota; Metazoa; Chordata; Mammalia; Primates; Hominidae. The record is from RNAcentral.
GCCGGGCGUGGUGGCGGGCGCCUGUAAUCCCAGCUACUUGGGAGGCUGAGGCAGGAGAAUCAGUUGAACCUGGGAAGCGGAGCUUGCAGUAAGCGGAGAUCGUGCCACUGCACUCCAACCUGGGUGACAGAGUGAGACUCUGUCUGAAAAAAAUAAAAAAUAAAAAUAGAAAAUGAGAUAUGAGACAGAGUUUCGUUCUUGCUGCCCAGGCUGGAGUGUAAUGGCACAAUCUCGCCUCACUGCAACCUCCGCCUCCUGGGUUCAAGCGAUUCUCCCACCUCA